This 817-nucleotide ribosomal RNA is filed under the name uncultured bacterium. RNAcentral describes it as "bacterial SSU rRNA". It matches the Rfam family "Bacterial small subunit ribosomal RNA", at positions 8 to 853 of the family's 1533-position model. The record is from RNAcentral.
AGAGUUUGAUCCUGGCUCAGGAUGAACGCUGGCGGCGUGCCUAACACAUGCAAGCCGAGCGAUUUUACUUCGGUAAAGAGCGGCGGACGGGUGAGUUACGCGUGGGUAACCUGCCCUGUACACACGGAUAACAUACCGAAAGGUAUGCUAAUACGAGAUAACAUACUUUUAUCGCAUGGUAGAAGUAUCAAAGCUUUUGCGGUACAGGAUGGACCCGCGUCUGAUUAGCUAGUUGGUAAGGUAACGGCUUACCAAGGCGACGAUCAGUAGCCGACCUGAGAGGGUGAUCGGCCACAUUGGAACUGAGACACGGUCCAAACUCCUACGGGAGGCAGCAGUGGGGAAUAUUGCACAAUGGGCGAAAGCCUGAUGCAGCAACGCCGCGUGAGCGAUGAAGGCCUUCGGGUCGUAAAGCUCUGUCCUCAAGGAAGAUAAUGACGGUACUUGAGGAGGAAGCCCCGGCUAACUACGUGCCAGCAGCCGCGGUAAUACGUAGGGGGCUAGCGUUAUCCGGAAUUACUGGGCGUAAAGGGUGCGUAGGUGGUUUCUUAAGUCAGGGGUGAAAGGCUACGGCUCAACCGUAGUAAGCCUUUGAAACUGGGAAACUUGAGUGCAGGAGAGGAGAGUGGAAUUCCUAGUGUAGCGGUGAAAUGCGUAGAUAUUAGGAGGAACACCAGUUGCGAAGGCGGCUCUCUGGACUGUAACUGACACUGAGGCACGAAAGCGUGGGGAGCAAACAGGAUUAGAUACCCUGGUAGUCCACGCCGUAAACGAUGAGUACUAGCUGUCGGAGGUUACCCCCUUCGGUGGCGCAGCU